This 243-nucleotide ribosomal RNA is filed under the name uncultured Staphylococcus sp. Its description in RNAcentral is "partial 16S ribosomal RNA". It matches the Rfam family "Bacterial small subunit ribosomal RNA", at positions 524 to 766 of the family's 1533-position model. The record is from RNAcentral. Lineage: Bacteria; Bacillati; Bacillota; Bacilli; Caryophanales; Staphylococcaceae.
UACGUAGGUGGCAAGCGUUAUCCGGAAUUAUUGGGCGUAAAGCGCGCGUAGGCGGUUUUUUAAGUCUGAUGUGAAAGCCCACGGCUCAACCGUGGAGGGUCAUUGGAAACUGGAAAACUUGAGUGCAGAAGAGGAAAGUGGAAUUCCAUGUGUAGCGGUGAAAUGCGCAGAGAUAUGGAGGAACACCAGUGGCGAAGGCGACUUUCUGGUCUGUAACUGACGCUGAUGUGCGAAAGCGUGGGG